AUAUAAUUCAAUUUUUUUUUUUUAAUUCAGAUAUUUACAUGAAAUAAUUAAGUAUUGAUAUAAUUUCACGUAGUCGCAAUUUAAUAUUAGUCAAUAAUUUAGAUUUACAUACAAAUUAUAAUAGCGGGGUACAAGUCUAGAUACAAGGACGAUUAUUUUAUUAUUUUUAUAUAAUAUAAUAGUUUUCGAUUUCGGUAAAUGUGAUAAUACAUAUAUGUGCUAAUAUUUCAUGCAAACGAAUUUAUUUUACAGAUAUUUAAGCAUAUAAACAACAUAAUUAUUAUAUAUUUGUGUAAAAUUCGAUACAGCAUUAUGUUACUAGUCGCAAGCUUGUCAGUUAUAAGCAGUAACUGUGAAUCGAUAAGCGUUUUUUUUUUUUUUUUAUAUUAAUACUAUUGAAAGAAAUGGACAUUAUUUGCUUAAGUAGUUUAUUAAAAUAUUAUUACAAUAGCAAGUCAAAGUUUUGGUCAAAUUUGAGACUGAAGAUUUCGUUCAGGUCUUUUACAAACGAUAAUAGCUUUCUUAGAAUUAAUUACCACUGCAUGUCAAUGUGGGGUUUUAUUGACCCCACUCAUUUAGAACGACUUUGACUUUUAAAUUUCUUGCCAUUGUAAAUAUUUGUAACAUUCAACUCUCAAUUUGUGUAAAAUGAUUCUUUUUUUGUAUUAACAGAUCGUUACAAUAAUAAUUUAUAAUUUUCACUCUAAUUCAUAAAAAUAAUAAAAUAUACAUUUUUCUAUACAUUGAAUACGCCCAAUCAAAAAUUUUAAUAUCAAUGAAAAUAUUUUAAAUACAUUAAGUAGAAUACAAUAAUUUUUUUAGUAACCUAAGAUUCGAUACAAUCAAAUUUCAAAAUAACUUAAUUGAGUCAAAAAACCGGUUAUACUCAAAUUUCAUAUUUAUUUAUAUAUAGCUUAUAGAAUUACAUAAGUAAAUAACGUCCACUUAGUAAUGGAACGAGUGGUAUCUGAACAAAUCAUUUAUACCCAGUUUCCAUUCAAAAAUCAAUUAGUUUUGCUUACUAAUCGUUUAACUUCGAACGUGUGUUGUAAGUAAAACGAAUCGUUAUUGAAUCUACCUACGAGUUAUAGAGAAGUCAACGUUAUACAAAUUUUCGAAGUCCCACGAUUACAAAACGCAUGCCUCGAUAUCCUUAAAAUUACAAUUCAACGAUAGUAUACAAUUUUCAAAUUCUAUUCCCGUUUAUAAAUAUCUCAAAUUUAGCAAAAUCUACGUCUAUGAGAUUGCGAAAACGUUGGAAAUACUUUAUAACAAUACGAUUAGCUUUUUGUUUAUCUUAUACGUUAUUAUAGUCUAGUAACAAUUUAUUGUAAAAAUUUUCCGCGUUUAUUAGGUUCGGAUUAUGCCAAUUCAAUGUCACUUGUGUUAAAAACAUUAACACAGACGCUUAAAAAAAAUUAAAAAAUUCAUCAAAUCGAAACUUCAUUUUUCAAUUUCAAAUUACUUACAUUUCUAGCGUCUGAUUUUUAUUUUAACUCACUAAGAGUUGAGUUUCUUCUAAAAUCUCGAAUAACUUUUAUCACCGUACAUUUAUUAUUCACAAGUAAUUAUUUUACGAAUCAGUUCACGUUUUAAAUUAAAUACACAUAAUAAAUCUUAAUGCACUAAUUAAUACGUCGUUACAUAAGACAGAUCUUUGGAUGCGUUUAUCGACGCUUUUGAAACCCCGUUCCUAUAUCCAAAAAACGAUUCAUUAAACCGACCGUUACAUAAUUCGAUUUCUAUGAUAAAACGAAUAGUUUCCUGAAUAUAGGGACAGUCGCUAAUCAAUUAUAAAUUUUAAGCUUAAUUUUAAUGAAGCUAGAUAAAGCGCGUGUUAAAUCAUACUGAAUAUAAUACAAUUUAUAUCUAUAUAAAAAAAAGUAAAAAUAUCUCAUUCUCUAAGCGGAUCUAAAUUACACCUUAAAACGAAACUCGUUCGACAUUGUAUGACGUCACAAAACAAACGAACAAACAAAAAAGACUAGAUCAUUAAAAAUUAAUUACAAUUCUACUUACAUACUAAAAUUCACAAACGCAAUGAGAAAAAAAAAUAUUAUAUUAACGUUAAAAAAAUGGUUACUAAGAUUUAUUAAAUAAAAAUUAAAAUAAUCGCUAAAAUACUUUGUGUAUCAUGUAUCGUUAAAAAAUAUCAAAGGUCAGGUCUGUUAACAAAAUAAGUAAAAUGUGUAAGUAAUUAAGUUACAUUAUUAGUAAAAUUGGUCAUUAUUAUCGAGAAACAUAUAUUGGCAGUGUUCGGGUAUUUGAAAACGAUACUAGCUUCCCUAGACAUCAUUGGAGUUGCCUUUUAAACAUUUAGGCAAAAUUUAUCCUAAUAUUUGUAAAAUAAAUCUAGCGGUACCUAAAUUAUAAAUGUGAAAUAUUAAAAAAAAUUGGCAACCCAGACUACAUAUAAUGCAAGAAUUUUUUUUUAAUCUAUGAAAAUCUUUUUUUAAUGUAUAUUAUAAUAUGGUCAGUAAUCACACACACAAUGAUGCAUUUAAGUAACGGAAAAAUAGAGACAGACCUAAUAAUCUAGACAUUUAAGAAUAAAUUGCCACUCAUAACCUAAGAUGAGGUGUCAUUAUGAAAAUAAAUUUAAACUAAUCUAUACAUUAGUCGGCGGUGCGUUAACGGUACAAGUGCGACGACCUCAGUCAGACCCAGAGUACUAUAGACUAAGGCCCCGUUGCUAUAUUGAAACGGCCAUUUUUAAUAAAUAUAAUAAAUGUAUACAUUCUUGAAAACACACACAGUCGUCUGUUUCUAAGGUAGGCAAUUUAAUGCCUGCAUUUUAGGUAAUAGCCAACUGAUACAGCUAUAUAUAUAUAUAUAUAUAUAUACUACACCCAGACGCGGGGUGAAAAACAAACCCGGGAAGGUCACUGCAAACUGCGUCAACGAAAUAUUAAAUUUCAAACAAUUCAUGUCUUGAAACUAUGCGUAUGCAAAACGAACCCUUUUCUGAAUAUAGCAACCAAGCAUUAUAAAUGUUUAGAAGCAAAAUAAAUAGUUUUGGUUAAAACUUAUACACUAUUCAUAACAUUUUUCGACACGUGUUUAUUUAGUAUUUGAAUGUAUAAAAAAAAAAAAACAAUAUUACAAACUCCAUUAUAUAAAGCUAUAUUCUAGAAUUACUUUCAUAAGUUUUUUUUAUUAUUAUUAAAAAACCACUCUGCGUGAUAUUUCAAAGAGCAUG
RNAcentral lists this unclassified non-coding RNA (3199 nucleotides) under Melitaea cinxia (Glanville fritillary). Its description in RNAcentral is "misc RNA ENSMCXG00005015945.1". Lineage: Eukaryota; Metazoa; Arthropoda; Insecta; Lepidoptera; Nymphalidae. The record is from RNAcentral.